Molecule: long non-coding RNA, 3522 nt
Filed under: Triticum aestivum (bread wheat)
Lineage: Eukaryota; Viridiplantae; Streptophyta; Magnoliopsida; Poales; Poaceae
Description: long non-coding RNA (TAES_LNC012556)
Rfam family: MIR1120/MIR1122 microRNA precursor family (bases 389-475)
Source: RNAcentral
CCAUUUUAUGCAUUAUUUGUUGUGUCUCUGCGCAGUAGGGAUAUGAAUUUGAUAGGCAUAGGCAUAGAAGACACCGGGAACUACCGAUGAACCACCAGGAUCAGAACAUGCAACCGGUCGACUAGCUAUGGCGACCGUCAUCAUCAGGUGCGACUGACCCAUAGGCCACGCUCUCUCGUGAUGUCAUGAGGAAUCAGCAAAGGGACGAAAUGGGGAUCAGAGGUUGGAUGGAAUGAGAAUUGGACAAUAUUUGGUCGAUGCAAUCAUGACUGCGAAAGAGGGCUAGAAAGAGCAGACGUGUUGCCGCUUGCUGGAUAGAGAUAUCUGUGUAGAGAUCAGUGAAAGAAAUGUCUUCAGUCAUCCUUAGAAAACCACACUACGUACUUUGCUACUCCCUCCAUCCCAUAAUAUAAGAGUGUUUUUGACACUACACUUGUGUCAAAAAUGCUCUUAUAUUAUGGGGUGGAGGGAGUACUUCACAAGCAUUACACAGUUGAAAAAGCAAUCACCUCGUUGUUGGAGAUCAUUGCUGCUGACAUCUUGGUGAUAACAAUGACAUGGAUGGGUUCAUGUUGAUCCACUGACACAAUGUAGCCUCCUUCAGUAAAAGAUAUGCACAGAUUGGCAAAAUAAGUAAAACGCCAGAAAUGCAUCCGCUUCAAAAAUGACAUGCUAGACAAGUACCAUGUCAGGCACGCCUGCAAAACAUGGAAGAUUAUAUUGUGAAUCUCUUGCUACCCAAACUUGUCAAGCUUUAGUGAUUUGUAUUUGAUAAGGUCACUUCACAGAAUUCUGUUAGAUUAGCUCUCUUAAUAUAAAGACCCUCCGGGAAAAAAUAUUAAACCAACUAUGCUCACAAUGAAGAAAACAAGUUGAAGCGAAUUAGGAAAGAUGGGACUACCCCUUGACAAUAUUUAAAGCUUGGAUGCAAACUGAUUCAAGCCAAGCCUAGCUUUCUUCCGUUUAAAUGGAGAUUUAAAUGCUAAAUGUAGAAUUGAGAAGAUACUGUCUCCAUGUUUUUUUUACUGGAUGCAAACAACAACACUGGCAAAUUACACCCCUUAAUUUUGUAAAGCCAACAAUCCAACUUUGUACUAACUUUAGUACAAAGUUAGUACAAAGUUGGGUCAUCUAUUUUGGAACGGAGGGAGUACCAUUUAUCUCCAAAAGACACAUUUAAGCAACGGACUAUAACGAAAUGAGAAGAGGCUGUUAACACCAAAGCAAUCAACAGCAGUCUUAUAGGUUUUAAAGCAGAAAAAUGUGUCAAAGGAUGUUGAUUGUGUGAGAAUUCCUGUCUAUUCUGUUGUUGACAAAAAAGAAAAUGAACCCAAUGCAUAUCUCUUGAAUAUAGUUUAGAAAAGUACAUACCAAAUCCAAGUGUUGGAGGAGAAUAAGUUAAUUAGCAUGAGCAGCAAUAGGCAAUAGCUGAAGACAAGAUCUACUAAUACUGAUCCAAAUCAUGAAAAACAUGUCAGGAUGAAAUUAAAUUGCUGGGACUUCAAGUUCUGUGCAUGAUCUGUACUUGAUACAUGUGAACAUAUAACACUAUAACAGUAUGAAUGAAUUUGAUAUAUCGUGUGCAAUAUCAAAAAGAGUUAUCUCUAACUUGAAUCAGUGCAGGAAUUUUUUUACAGUAACACCCGCGUGAAAUUGAUCGGCCAGCACCAGACAAAAAAUAGAUAUUAGAACUACUGAGGAACAGAACAGUUUAGCCAAAAAAACAAUCCAUUUUUCAAUAUCUAAGAGCUGUUGCUACGGAUACCAAAUCAUGUUAUCUUGUACAGCAUUAGAAAUCAUUUUUGCAUAAUAGUUACUGACAUCUCAACGGAAAUUACCAAAUAAUAAAUAGCUGAAAAUGGUAUGAUGGAAUCAUAAGAUACACUCAUUCUAAAAAAACAGUGCAUAGAAGCUCCCACACAAGGUGGGGUAUGGGGAGGGAUUAUAGGAACCUAGUCUUACCCCUGCAACGUGCAAUGCAAAGAGGCUGGUUCAAAUCCAGGACCUCUUGGCACAAGUGGGGAGGACUUCACAACUACGCCAGGCCUGCCCUCUAUCAUUCUCAUUCCAAAUUAUGUAGUGGCGUUCUCCAGGACAGUGUUAUAUUAACUUUCAUAUUGGCUGGGUAAUUAAAAGAGUGGCCGUGAAGAAUAUCCUCGUUAAGAUCAGAACAUUCCCUCAAAAUUAGAACAUUUAGGGUAACUUUUCUUGUAAUGUUAUAAAGUGUAUGUUUCUGAAACCUUAGACAGAUACUGCCACCCACUCAUCCCAGUCUACUGAUACAGCAAGCUUCCCUACAUAUAGGUUCUUAACAUAUCGAUGACAAAGGAGCAAAAAAUGGUCACUAAAAUUUUGCCACAUUGAAUUGGACUAAAGGUGUUGAUGUUGUCAUUCAAACAGAGGAGUCCUUGCCUGAGAUAUGAAGGUGAUAUUUUUCUGUUUAAUUAAUGUGCAGAGAAAGCUAAACACCAUAAAUAGAAAACUCUAGUUCAACAGGAAUAAUUGAACAACACUACAUUCAAAUUACAUCCAACACCCCGCAAAAAGACAAAUUACAUCCAACAAAAUGGAAUUGAGUGAGACAAGCAUAGCCUACAUAAUUGGUCAUCACUUUGCCCGCUAGCUCAUUUGUCACCUCUUUUUAUUCUAAAUUAAUCCGUUCACAGAGCUAUAAUUCAAAUAGAGCAUCAUCAUCAAUGUCACAGGCACCAUCAUGAAGAACAUGGAAGUUUAGGGCGUGUCCGGGAGUCCUCCCGCUUCUCAACUCCUCAACUCCAUGUGAGGAGUGCAGCCGAACGAUCCAAAUCCUAGUUAUGAGCGAGAGAAGCUGGCGAAACUUGCAGUGCAAUUUUCGCGGAGUCGCGGAGCUAGCAAACUCGAGCUCCUCCAAAACAGCGAAGCAGGAGUUGCCAAGAAUUGCCACCACCAAGUGAGUUACCGCUUCGUUCAUUUGUAGCAAAUAUUACAAGUAUGUGCCACCGCCAAGGCAGUUACCGGUUCGUUUGUUCGCCAGAGCAGGCUUCCCACGCCUAGAUGGGCUGUCACGCCUAGUUGGGCCCUCCCGAGCUGCUAUUUCUCAUAGCUAGGUGGCUGGCGGCCUGUUUCAACGACCAGAACGAGGAGCUACUCUACCGGGCGAUUUGUAACUCCGGGAUUUUAACUGAGAAGCUGGCUGCUGGUUUUGGGCUAUGGAGUUGAGGAUUUUGAGGGUGUGGAGAGCUACCGAACACGCCCGUAGUUUUGCAAAAUUUCUCACUAACCAAACUUGUCAAGCUUCGGCAGUCUGUACUUUGUAAGGUCCCCUUACAGAGUUCGGUUAGACUAGCUCUCUUAAUGAACCAACGAAGUGAAGAUCCUUCGGAAAAAAGUAAACCAAGUAUGCUCACAACUAAUAUAACAAGUUUAAGCGAAUUAGGAUAGAUGAUCUAACCUUAACAAUACAUAAAGCUUGGAUGCAACUGAUUCGAGCUAAGCCUAGUUUCCAGGAGAUCAUCUGCUAGAACCUGCACCAAUUGGGAAGAG